CGACGUAUCAAUACGUGGCGAACGGCUCAGUAACACGUAGUCAACAUGCCCAGGGGACGUGGAUAAUCUCGGGAAACUGAGAAUAAACCUCGAUAGGUCACGAUUUCUGGAAUGGAUCUUGGCUUAAAUCUACAUGGCCCCUGGAUUGGACUGCGGCCGAUCAGGCUGUUGGUGAGGUAAUGGCCCACCAAACCUAUAACCGGUACGGGCUCUGAGAGGAGGAGCCCGGAGAUGGGCACUGAGACAAGGGCCCAGGCCCUAUGGGGCGCAGCAGGCGCGAAACCUCUGCAAUAGGCGAAAGCCUGACAGGGUUACUCUGAGUGAUUCCCGCUAAGGGGAUCUUUUGGCACCUCUAAAAAUGGUGCUGAAUAAGGGGUGGGCAAGUCUGGUGUCAGCCGCCGCGGUAUUACCAUCACCCCGAGUGGUCGGGAUGAUUAUUGGGCCUAAAGCAUCCGUACCCGGUUCUGCAAGUCCUCCGUUAAAUCCAGCCGCUCAACGGAUGGACCGCGGAGGAUUCUAUUGGACUAGGAGGCGGGAGAGGCAAGCGGUACUUCAGUGGGUAGGGGUAUAAUCCUUUGAUCCCUUGAAGA
RNAcentral lists this ribosomal RNA (590 nucleotides) under uncultured archaeon. Its description in RNAcentral is "bacterial SSU rRNA". It matches the Rfam family "Archaeal small subunit ribosomal RNA", at positions 60 to 656 of the family's 1478-position model. The record is from RNAcentral.